RNAcentral lists this ribosomal RNA (116 nucleotides) under Clostridia bacterium. Lineage: Bacteria; Bacillati; Bacillota; Clostridia. The record is from RNAcentral.
UCCGGUGACGAUAGCAAUGAGGAUCCACCUGUUCCCAUACCGAACACAGAAGUUAAGCUCAUUAUCGCCGAUGGUACUUACACACCACGUGUUGGGAGAGUAGGAAGUUGCCGGAU